This 66-nucleotide transfer RNA is filed under the name Oostethus manadensis (sort-tailed pipefish). RNAcentral describes it as "tRNA-Cys". The record is from RNAcentral. Lineage: Eukaryota; Metazoa; Chordata; Actinopteri; Syngnathiformes; Syngnathidae. RNAcentral also lists the same sequence under 1 other name.
AGCCUUGAGGUGUUCGACACAUUAGAUUGCAAAUCUUAAGUAGUAAACUGACGUUUGCCGGGGCUU